Molecule: non-coding RNA, 26 nt
Filed under: Rattus norvegicus (Norway rat)
Lineage: Eukaryota; Metazoa; Chordata; Mammalia; Rodentia; Muridae
Source: RNAcentral
UUUGUCAUUGAAAGUUCUUGAUGUUC